This is a non-coding RNA of Pelobates cultripes (western spadefoot toad), 269 nucleotides long. Lineage: Eukaryota; Metazoa; Chordata; Amphibia; Anura; Pelobatidae. The record is from the annotation of a GenBank genome assembly.
UAUACAGCUUAUGAAGACUUCACUGCUGCAUCACUUGCUAUAAAGACUACCCGCAAGGACACUUAAGUUGAUCUUUUAUUUUUGUAUUUACUUAUUCCGUUGGACAUUUUUACUUGUAGUUACUCUAUUUUAUUCUCCUAUUGGCGCAGCCUUUUUAUUGUUGUUUUUAUUGUCUUGUUUUAAAAGGGCCUGGAGGGUUUCCCUUUUUAAGGUUGCUGCCUGUUAAUUAGCGCUGUCUCUCUCUCCUUUAUCUAUUUUUACGUGUAAAC